AAUGAAAGCUGUUUGCUGUAAU
This 22-nucleotide microRNA is filed under the name Oreochromis niloticus (Nile tilapia). RNAcentral's name for it is "oni-miR-10765". The record is from miRBase by way of RNAcentral. Lineage: Eukaryota; Metazoa; Chordata; Actinopteri; Cichliformes; Cichlidae.